AUCUUAUCUUCUUUGGAAUUUAUUCACUUCAGCCCUUGUACUUGAUGAUAAUCACAUAUUUAUGGCUGGAGUUUCAGAUCCACUACAUGACAACUAGAAUUCAUUACUAAACCAUACGGAUUAGUACCCUAGAUUCCUUAAACUGUGGUUCAAUCAACGCUUUUAGUUUUAAUUUGACUUUCAAGUCCUCAGACUUGGUUUGUUCUCCUGUUUAGUAUAUGUACUUGUUGCAAUGUGACCGAAAAAAAAUGUAACAUGUUCAAUAUGUUUGCCUCAUGCAAUCCCUAUAACAUGUUACGGUGUACAACAACUUCAUUUCAGCAAUUGAAAUAU
RNAcentral lists this long non-coding RNA (333 nucleotides) under Hordeum vulgare. RNAcentral's name for it is "long non-coding RNA (HVUL_LNC004236)". The record is from RNAcentral. Lineage: Eukaryota; Viridiplantae; Streptophyta; Magnoliopsida; Poales; Poaceae.